CAGCCGCGGUAAUUCCAGCUCCAAUAGCGUAUAUUAAAGUUGUUGCAGUUAAAAAGCUCGUAGUUGAAUUUCGGGAUUGACGUGAUGGUCGUGCCUUAAGGGGUAUGAACUGUCGCAGUUGAUUUCUCACCUUCUGGAGAAGCAUGAUGUCCUUAAUUGGGUGUCAUGUGGAACCAGGACCUUUACCUUGAAAAAAUUAGAGUGUUUAAAGCAGGCAUUUUGCUCGAAUACAUUAGCAUGGAAUAAUAGAAUAGGACGGCAUGGUUCUAUUUUGUUGGUUUCUAGGAUCACCGUAAUGAUUAAUAGGGGGGGCAUUAGUAUUCAAUUGUCAGAGGUGAAAUUCUUGGAUUUAUUGAAGACUAACUACUGCGAAAGCAUUUUGCCAAGGAUGUUUCAUUAAUCAAGAACGAAAGUUAGGGGAUCGAAGACGAUCAGAUACCGUCGUAGUCUUAACCAUAAACUAUGCCGACUAGGGAUCGGAUGAUGUUAAUUUAUAAUGACUCAUUCGGCGCCUUACGGGAAAC
This 524-nucleotide ribosomal RNA is filed under the name uncultured Glomeromycotina. RNAcentral describes it as "SSU rRNA". It matches the Rfam family "Eukaryotic small subunit ribosomal RNA", at positions 571 to 1098 of the family's 1831-position model. Lineage: Eukaryota; Fungi; Glomeromycota. The record is from RNAcentral.